This 377-nucleotide ribosomal RNA is filed under the name uncultured crenarchaeote. RNAcentral's name for it is "bacterial SSU rRNA". It matches the Rfam family "Archaeal small subunit ribosomal RNA", at positions 347 to 725 of the family's 1478-position model. Lineage: Archaea; Thermoproteati; Thermoproteota. The record is from RNAcentral.
ACUUUGCAAUGUGCGAAAGCACGACAAGGUUAAUCCGAGUGGUUUCUGCUAAAGGAACCUUUUGUCAGUCCUAGAAACACUGGUGAAUAAGGGGUGGGCAAGUUCUGGUGUCAGCCGCCGCGGUAAAACCAGCACCUCAAGUGGUCAGGAUGAUUAUUGGGCCUAAAGCAUCCGUAGCCUGCUUUGUCAGUUUUCGGUUAAAUCCAUACGCUCAACGUAUGGGCUGCCGGGAAUACUGCAAAGCUAGGGAGUGGGAGAGGUAGACGGUACUCGGUAGGAAGGGGUAAAAUCCUUUGAUCUAUUGAUGACCACCUGUGGCGAAGGCGGUCUACCAGAACACGUCCGACGGUGAGGGAUGAAAGCUGGGGGAGCAAACC